This is a long non-coding RNA of Manis pentadactyla (Chinese pangolin), 1412 nucleotides long. RefSeq lists it as uncharacterized. The transcript is spliced from 4 exons. Lineage: Eukaryota; Metazoa; Chordata; Mammalia; Pholidota; Manidae. The record is from RefSeq and is a predicted model, not a curated record.
GCCAGGGGGCCCCUCCCCACCGGGGCGGAAGCCGGGUCCAGCCGGCAGAAGAUCCGGGGCUGGGGAAAAAAGGGUAGUCCUGCGAAGACUGAAGGGUGAGGACGGGGCGCCCACUCUGCGCGUGAUCGCCGGCCCUGCGCGUGCGCCCUGGCGCGGCCCGGGUGACAGGGUGUGGAAACUUCUCAUUUGGAAUUAGUAGAAUCUAUUUGGACAUAUAUGCCACAUGUUCACAUUUUGGGGAAAUUUUGUAAUCAUAAUGGAGCAUUUCCAAUUCCUCCUGAAAAUAAACUGAAAAUUCCUGUAGGAGCCAAAAUUCAAACUUCACAUUUAGUUGUUCAACUGGCAUGAUUUUGCUUUUUUUGACCCUGUGAUGUAUGAGAGUUUGUGGCAGCUUAUCCUCACCUCUCAAAGUUCAGAUGCUGAUGCUGUUUUCUCUGCAAUGGAUUUGGCAUUUGCAAUUGACCUGUGUAAAGAAGAGGGUGGAGGGACAGGUAAAGCAAAUAUGUAAUUUUCUGAUUCUGGCAAAAGAAUUGUCUGUUGUACUUAUCUUACAUAGAAACAGUUUAGAUAGAUUGGGACCAAGAGAGGGAGAGACACAAGUAGAUGAAGUGGAGGAGGGGGUGGUGGUGGGGUUUGGAGAUGGAUGGAGAGUUAGUUCUUUUGUGCUUAUUUAGGCCAAAAAUGUUUGUAUUUCCUAGGUAAGGUAUAGAAUUGUCUUUAGAUUUAAAAAUUUCAGAAAAUUGUUACUAGUGUUUUGACAAAAUUGUUUUUCAAUGGUACUGCUAAAUUUUUUACAAGUUGAACUUAUUCCUAAUGGUGUAAAUAUACCAGUCACGCCCCAGAAUGUCUAUGAGUAUGUGCAGAAAUAUGCAGAACACAGAAUGUUGGUAGUUGCAGAACAGCCAUUACAUGCAAUGAGGAAAGGUCUAUUGGAUGUGCUUCCCAAAAAUUCAUUAGAAGAUUUAACAGCAGAAGACUUUAGGCUUUUGGUAAAUGGCUGUGGUGAAGUUAAUGUGCAAAUGCUGAUCAGUUUCACCUCUUUCAAUAAUGAAUCAGGUAUGAUUUUUUAAAAUGUUUAAGGAAUAAAUUACAUAGAUUAGGCAUUUUAUAAGUUUCUGGUUCUUAAAUAUGUAUAGGGCUUAGGAAAUGCUGUAUUACUCAGGUGUUAAAAAUAUUUUUUUAAAACCAUUAAACUCUUAUGGCUUGGCAUUAGGUUAUUUUAUUGCUUAAUUUUUCAAGGUUUUAAAGGUUUUAAAUAAUAGACGGUUUGGUGUAAAUAUAAGUAAAAAAUUUUUGUGGUAAGCAACUAUAAAAGGUAUUUUUAUAUACUAAUUUUAAAAAAUCCAUGUGACAGUUCUGUUUGUUGGUCCUUCCUGAUUUUCAUUAAAGAAUUUGACUGCAUGAUGUUUGCU